UACUUUCAUACCUGGGUGAAAUUCUUUCCUGAGAAUUGCUUUCUCCUGAGAGAGCUAAGGUUCGUUCUUUGUAGAUCUUAGCAUUCUCAUAUGAUUCAUUUCUAAGCUCUUCUAACUUGUUAAGUUGGAGCUUCCUCAAUGUACCAGCUUCUUUGAGAUCAAAAUUGAACUUUUUAUGGCCCAAUAUACACAGUGCUCGAGCUCCAUCGGAAAAUAACAUACUUUUCCAAAUACAAGUCAAUAAAGGCUCAUUCUAAUUGGGCCUUGUAAGCUGUUCAAUAAGCCAAAAGUGCAUCAUUCAACCUUAGCAGCCAAUCCUUCCUUGUAGGGUUGACAAUCUUCAUCAAGAUGUUCGUUAUUUCUCUAUUGUUGAUUUCCACUUGGCUAGAGGUUUGAGGAUGAGUCUUCGGUGAUGGUGGAAGUGUAUAAAAUGGUUGGAGUUUUGAGUGUGGAUGAAAAGAGAGAAAAAUAGUGGCUAGAAUUGUGAAAUUCGCUCAGAAUGAAAGGUGUGUGUAAAAGUGGCUGAAAGGCUAGGUUUUAUGAUGUUAAAGAGACUCUUACAGAUUGCCAAUACAUCCCAGUUGUUGAUGCACAAAAUUAGUGAGGACUUUGGUACAACAGAAAGUGUUAAGUUUGUGACCUUCGCUAGACCUUCACUAGAUUGCUUCGGUCACUAGUGUGGAUAAGUAUGUAAAUGGAUAGAGACAGGGAAGCAAACACAAGAUGUACAUGGUUCACCCAGAUUGGCUACGUCCACAGAGUAGAGGAGUUCUCAUUAAUUGUGAAGGGUUUACACAACUACAUAGGUUCAAGCUCUCUUUUUGUGACUACUAGUGAAUGAUUUAGUACAAAUGACAUUAGGAAAUAUUGUGAGAGAAUGAUCUCUAUUUAUAGAAGAGAGUUUCUAUUUUCAUUCUGACAUUGACACGUGUCGUGUUGUGAUUGGCUUCUGAUGUUGACACGUGUCACGCUAUGAUUGGCUUUUGAUGUCGACACGUGUCAUACUAUGAUUGGCCUCCUGGUUGGAGGGAAACUCUUCUGGGUCCUUGACGGUAUAACGUUGACCGGUGCUCAGUAGUUUCGGGAUUGGUCAAGUAUGGUACAAACAGUGCUCCCUAAGUUCUCGAGUGAGGGAAGCUCCUCGGUUGGGGACUUGCAAGAUCCAAGCCAUUGAGUAAUCACGAAACUUCUAAGUACCGAAGUGUGGUAUCAUUUUCACUUGCCUUAUCUGUCUCAUAUGUAGAUGUGGCAUCUUCUCUGGAAGUACUUUUCCUCCAUCCAGGGGUGGUAUCUUUAACCGAUGAAGAUG
This 1309-nucleotide long non-coding RNA is filed under the name Malus domestica (apple). Its description in RNAcentral is "long non-coding RNA (MDOM_LNC008289)". The record is from RNAcentral. Lineage: Eukaryota; Viridiplantae; Streptophyta; Magnoliopsida; Rosales; Rosaceae.